Molecule: ribosomal RNA, 503 nt
Filed under: uncultured bacterium
Lineage: Bacteria
Description: partial 16S ribosomal RNA
Rfam family: Bacterial small subunit ribosomal RNA
Source: RNAcentral
AUUGAACGCUGGCGGCAGGCUUAACACAUGCAAGUCGAGCGGGGUGAUGGUGCUUGCACUAUCACUUAGCGGCGGACGGGUGAGUAAUGCUUAGGAAUCUGCCUAUUAGUGGGGGACAACAUCUCGAAAGGGAUGCUAAUACCGCAUACGUCCUACGGGAGAAAGCAGGGGAUCACUUGUGACCUUGCGCUAAUAGAUGAGCCUAAGUCGGAUUAGCUAGUUGGUGGGGUAAAGGCCUACCAAGGCGACGAUCUGUAGCGGGUCUGAGAGGAUGGUCCGCCGCACUGGGACUGGAACACGGCCCAGACUCCUACGGGAGGCAGCAGUGGGGAAUAUUGGACAAUGGGGGGAACCCUGAUCCAGCCAUGCCGCGUGUGUGAAGAAGGCCUUAUGGUUGUAAAGCACUUUAAGCGAGGAGGAGGCUACUGAGACUAAUACUCUUGGAUAGUGGACGUUACUCGCAGAAUAAGCACCGGCUAACUCUGUGCCAGCAGCCGCCGUAA